UACGGAGGGUGCAAGCGUUGUUCGGAAUUACUGGGCGUAAAGGGCGUGUAGGCGGUUUGGCAAGUCAGAUGUGAAAUCCCUUAGCUUAACUAAGGAAGUGCAUUUGAAACUUCUUAACUAGAGUACAGGAGGGGAAAGUGGAAUUCCCAGUGUAGAGGUGAAAUUCAUAGAUAUUGGGAGGAACACCGGUGGCGAAGGCGGCUUUCUGGCCUGAUACUGACGCUGAGACGCGAAAGCGUGGGGAGCAAACAGGAUUAGAUACCCGCGUA
RNAcentral lists this ribosomal RNA (269 nucleotides) under uncultured prokaryote. RNAcentral describes it as "partial 16S ribosomal RNA". It matches the Rfam family "Bacterial small subunit ribosomal RNA", at positions 524 to 792 of the family's 1533-position model. The record is from RNAcentral.